This 425-nucleotide unclassified non-coding RNA is filed under the name soil metagenome. Its description in RNAcentral is "partial contains 5.8S ribosomal RNA, internal transcribed spacer 2, and large subunit ribosomal RNA". The stretch from base 1 to 120 matches the Rfam family "5.8S ribosomal RNA", at positions 35 to 154 of the family's 154-position model. The record is from RNAcentral.
GAUGAAGAACGCAGCGAAAUGCGAUAAGUAGUGUGAAUUGCAGAAUUCCGUGAAUCAUCGAAUCUUUGAACGCACAUUGCCCCUUCUGGUAUUCCGGAAGGCAUGCCUGUUCGAGAGUCAUUAACAACCGUUUCGAUCCCUUUCUUUCAGAAAUUACAAAGAGGAAAAGGGUUUGGUUAUGGUGGAGGAGGGAAAGGGAGCGUUUAGCCUGUAAAAAAAGAGGCUGUGUUCCGCCUCCCCCCCAAAAUUGUACAGGCGGUCGUGUGCGCCCACGCAUCGAGGUGUUGUAAAAGCUGCCACGGCACUUUUCACCUGUGCAGUGCGAGAUUGGCCAGCCGGUUUAAAAACCCCUCCAAACAAUCAAAGGUUGACCUCGGAUCAGGUAGGGAUACCCGCUGAACUUAAGCAUAUCAAUAAGCGGAGGA